This 469-nucleotide ribosomal RNA is filed under the name uncultured Rhodocyclaceae bacterium. RNAcentral describes it as "bacterial SSU rRNA". It matches the Rfam family "Bacterial small subunit ribosomal RNA", at positions 913 to 1382 of the family's 1533-position model. The record is from RNAcentral. Lineage: Bacteria; Pseudomonadati; Pseudomonadota; Betaproteobacteria; Rhodocyclales; Rhodocyclaceae.
ACGGGGACCCGCACAAGCGGUGGAUGAUGUGGAUUAAUUCGAUGCAACGCGAAAACCUUACCUACCCUUGACAUGUCCGGAAUCCCGAAGAGAUUUGGGAGUGCUCGCAAGAGAACCGGAACACAGGUGCUGCAUGGCUGUCGUCAGCUCGUGUCGUGAGAUGUUGGGUUAAGUCCCGCAACGAGCGCAACCCUUGUCAUUAGUUGCCAUCAUUUGGUUGGGCACUCUAAUGAGACUGCCGGUGACAAACCGGAGGAAGGUGGGGAUGACGUCAAGUCCUCAUGGCCCUUAUGGGUAGGGCUUCACACGUCAUACAAUGGUCGGUACAGAGGGUUGCCAACCCGCGAGGGGGAGCUAAUCCCACAAAGCCGAUCGUAGUCCGGAUCGCAGUCUGCAACUCGACUGCGUGAAGUCGGAAUCGCUAGUAAUCGUGGAUCAGCAUGUCACGGUGAAUACGUUCCCGGGUCUU